This 1316-nucleotide ribosomal RNA is filed under the name Gadimyxa sp. EK-2007. RNAcentral's name for it is "SSU rRNA". It matches the Rfam family "Eukaryotic small subunit ribosomal RNA", at positions 377 to 1705 of the family's 1831-position model. The record is from RNAcentral. Lineage: Eukaryota; Metazoa; Cnidaria; Myxozoa; Bivalvulida; Parvicapsulidae.
GUUCGAUUCCGGAGAGGGAGCCUGAGAAACGGCUACCACUUCCAAGGAAGGCAGCAGGCGCGCAAAUUACCCAAUCCAGACAUUGGGAGGUAGUGACGAGAAAUAUCAAGGUAAGCCAAUUGGUUUACUAUUGAAAUGAACGUAAUGUAAAUACUUUGAUGAGUAACAACUGGAGGGCAAGUCUGGUGCCAGCAGCCGCGGUAAUUCCAGCUCCAGUAGUGUAUUUCAAAAUUGUUGCGUUUAAAACGCUCGUAGUCUGAUGACAAAAAUGAUUUAUAUUUAUGUUUUUUUAAAUAUUUUGUAUAAAUYAUUUUUUAUUUGCAAGAACUGAYUAUGAACUUUUAUGUUUAUGGUUAGUCACUUGCAAGGCGUGCCUUGAAUAAAGCAAAGUGCUCAAAGCAAGCGUAACGCUAGAAUGUAAUAGCAUGGAACGAACAGUGUUGAUUCYGAUUUAGUUAGUUGGUUUAAUUAUAAUURUGCAAAUUUUUAUARUUUACAUUUUUUUUAUUAAUCAUGUACUAAAUCGGGUCCUGGUUAAAAGGRACACUUGAGGAUGUUAGUAUUUAAUGGCGAGAGGUGAAAUUCUUAGACCCAUUAAGGACUUACUAUUGCGAAAGCAUUCAUCAAGAGUGUUUUCAUUGAUCAAGAACGAAAGUUGGAGUUUCGAAGACGAUCAGAUACCGUCCUAGUUCCAUACAGUAAACUAUGCCAACACGGGAUCAGUUCGAAGCUGUAUUCAAAUUGGUCCCCCCGUGAAAACUAAAGUUUUCAGGUUACGGGGAGAGUAUUAUCGCAAGUUUGAAAUUUAAAAGAAUUGACGGAARGGCACCACCAGGAGUGGAGCCUGCGGCUUAAUUUGACUCAACACGGGGCAACUCACCAGGUCCGGACAUUAAAAGGAUUGACAGACUGAUAGAUCUUUCAUGAUUUGAUGAUUGGUGGUGCAUGGCCGUUCUUAGUUGGUGGAGUGAUCUGUCAGGUUUAUUCCGGUAACGAGCGAGACCACGGUGUUUAGUUAAUGGCAUUUUUAUAUUUAUAUAUUAAUGAUUCUAGACAGACAACCGGAUUGAAGCCGGGGGAAGCGUGGCAAUAACAGGUCUGUGAUGCCCUUCGAUGUUCUGGGCUGCACGCGCGCUACAAUGGAAACAACAAAAAGCUAAUUAUGCCGAGAGGYAUGAUGAACCAUUAAUUGUUUUCGUGAUUGGGAUUGAGCCUUGUAAUAUUUGCUCAUAAAAGUGGAAUUCCUCGUAAAUAUGGGUCACCAACCCGUGUUGAAUACGUCUCUGCCCUUUGUACACACCGCCCGUCGCUACUAC